AAGAAAGUGACAGAGAGGCUAUGUUUCUGGCUUGAAACCAGGUUACGGGGGUUCAAUUCCCUCCUUUCUUG
This 71-nucleotide transfer RNA is filed under the name Rana amurensis. RNAcentral describes it as "tRNA-Ser". It matches the Rfam family "tRNA". Rfam says of the family: Transfer RNA (tRNA) molecules are approximately 80 nucleotides in length. Their secondary structure includes four short double-helical elements and three loops (D, anti-codon, and T loops). The record is from RNAcentral. Lineage: Eukaryota; Metazoa; Chordata; Amphibia; Anura; Ranidae.